UACGUAGGUGGCAAGCGUUGCUCGGAAUCACUGGGCGUAAAGGGCGCGUAGGCGGCGCGGUAAGUCACUUGUGAAAUCUCUGAGCUUAACUCAGAACGGCCAAGUGAUACUGCAGUGCUAGAGUGUGGAAGGGGCAAUCGGAAUUCUUGGUGUAGCGGUGAAAUGCGUAGAUAUCAAGAGGAACACCUGAGGUGAAGACGGGUUGCUGGGCCAACACUGACGCUGAGGCGCGAAAGCCAGGGGAGCAAACGGG
RNAcentral lists this ribosomal RNA (253 nucleotides) under uncultured bacterium. RNAcentral's name for it is "partial 16S ribosomal RNA". It matches the Rfam family "Bacterial small subunit ribosomal RNA", at positions 524 to 776 of the family's 1533-position model. The record is from RNAcentral.